This 459-nucleotide ribosomal RNA is filed under the name uncultured bacterium. Its description in RNAcentral is "partial 16S ribosomal RNA". It matches the Rfam family "Bacterial small subunit ribosomal RNA", at positions 338 to 795 of the family's 1533-position model. The record is from RNAcentral.
CCUACGGGCGGCAGCAGUGAGGAAUAUUGGUCAAUGGCCGGAAGGCUGAUCCAGCCAUGCCGCGUGAAUGUCAGUGCCCUUUGGGCGUUAAACUUCUUUUGUGCGGGAGCAAUAUUGGUCACGCGUGGCCAGACGAGAGUACCGUACGAAUACGCAUCGGCUCACUCCGUCCCAGCAGCCGCGGUAAUACGGAGGAUGCGAGCGUUAUCCGGAUUUAUUGGGUUUAAAGUGUGCGUAGGUGGAUAAUUAAGUCAGCGGUGAAAGUUUGUGGCUCAACCAUAAAAUUGUCGUUGAAACUGGUUGACUUGAGUAUAUUUGAGGUAGGCGGAAUGCGUGGUGUAGCGGUGAAAUGCGUAGAUAUCACGAGGAACACCGGUUGCGAAGGCAGCUUACUAAACUAUAACUGACACUGAAGCACGAAAGCGUGGGGAUCAAACAGGAUUAGAUACCCGAGUAGUC